RNAcentral lists this ribosomal RNA (504 nucleotides) under uncultured Glomus. RNAcentral describes it as "SSU rRNA". It matches the Rfam family "Eukaryotic small subunit ribosomal RNA", at positions 561 to 1070 of the family's 1831-position model. Lineage: Eukaryota; Fungi; Glomeromycota; Glomeromycetes; Glomerales; Glomeraceae. The record is from RNAcentral.
CUGGUGCCAGCAGCCGCGGUAAUUCCAGCUCCAAUAGCGUAUAUUAAAGUUGUUGCAGUUAAAAAGCUCGUAGUUGAAUUUCGGGAUCAAAUUGUCGGUCGUGCCUCGGUACGAACUGGUAUUAUUGGUUCCUCCCUUCUGAAGAACCGCGAUGUCAUUAAUUUGGUGUCGUGGGGAAUCAGGACUGUUACUUUGAAAAAAUUAGAGUGUUUAAAGCAGGCGCACGCUUGAAUACAUUAGCAUGGAAUAAUGAAAUAGGACGUUUGAUUCUAUUUUGUUGGUUUCUAGGAUUGACGUAAUGAUUAAUAGGGAUAGUUGGGGGCAUUAGUAUUCAAUUGUCAGAGGUGAAAUUCUUGGAUUUAUUGAAGACUAACUACUGCGAAAGCAUUUGCCAAGGAUGUUUUCAUUAAUCAAGAACGAAAGUUAGGGGAUCGAAGACGAUCAGAUACCGUCGUAGUCUUAACCAUAAACUAUGCCGACUAGGGAUCGGAUGAUGUAAUUUAA